UCUCUUUCUGGGUUUUCAAAAUCCUCUCUCUCUUCAAGAAAAACCCUAAGAAAGAUCGUUCAUCAAGUUUCACUUCUAAGGUAUGAUUGAAGGUUCACGCUCUUAAGAUUUUAUCUUUUAUUUAGUUAUUAUUUCUUUGUUUAAUUUCCAGUUUGAAUAUUUCUUUGUUUGAUUUCCAUUUUGAAUUAGAAUUUAAAUAGUUCGUUCUUUGUUAACCUUCUUUUCUUUUAUCUUCUGCUCUCUCUUCUGUUGUGUUUGUUUGAUUAUUUAGUCUGAUUAUGUGGUUUUUUGCAGGAUUGUCUUGAGAAAAGAAACUUCAAUUCAGGUCAUGAACAUUAUUUAUCCUUUUUGAUCGCUUGCUCUAUGGUUUAGUCUUUUUUCUCUCUAUUUUCAUUUUUUUUUAGAAUUUGGAAAAUGGGGUUAUGUAUGCUUUCUUUUUUCCUUCUUUGUAUGGUUGUAGACCUACUUUUGCAUAAACAUGGCACCUCGGUUCAGCCAAGCAUUCAGGUUCUUUCCUAAUUUCCUGUAUAUUUUCUUUGAGGCAUGUGAGAGUGCUUGAUUUACUGGUCUCACAUUUGUCUAUGUGGGGUUGUUAACAGUAAUGUGUUUGCUGGUAUUUUAAAUUACUUCAAUUUGAUAUGAUGGAUAAAAUGGCUAUUGGCUUGUUAUGGUAUUGUGUCAAGACUACCCAGAAAAGAUAUCUAUUUAUAAUUCUAACAUUUACAUUGUCAAAUAUAUCUUUUAUGUGGAUAAUUUCUGAUUCUUUGGUUUUUAGAAUCUCUAAAGUAAAUCACUUAAAAUUCAACCAUUGUCAGAUAUUCUUGAUGGUAAAAUUAUCAGAAAUCAGUUGGGAAAUUAUAUAUAUAAGUGUGGUUGGAAUGAACAAAUUGAAGCGAAAAGGUCCCUCGCCUUGAUUUUGUCAGACUAAUAAUGUGAUUCAAAUUUAAUGCUCCUAGUACUCCGAGUUUCUUGGAGUGGAAACUUGCAUGAAAAUUAAGAACACUUUGGAGAGUAUUUUAGAGAAAACUAAAGCUUGGAUGAGGAGAUGUUACUGAAUAAUAAAUUUCUUUGUAGAAUACAAUACAGUUAGGAUAAUUUUUUGUUUAUCUUCGAGGCAACCUUUAAAAUCCUGUUUCAGCUAAAUACUGAAUACUAGAAAUCCUUUUUGAUUGGGAUGUCGAUCAGCAAGAUAUUUUGAAUGCUAAAAUACGUAUCAUUUAUUUUUCCUUCUUUAUUUCAGUUGAUCAUCAUUGUUAUAUGUUCUAUCCAUUAUCUUUACCUUGAAAAGUUUGGAGCAGGUGGUUCCCAUAUCUCGUAUGCUGAAUUGUAGUUUAAUUUCGUUGUAGUUGUUCUUUCUCAUUUUUAAUACCUGCAGCUGAGACACUUGCAUGGGAAAAGAACUGAAAUGCCAUUAAAGAUUUAUGGAGGUUAAGAGGAUGGACCUCAAAAUCCUAUUAUAAAGAACAGAAAUCUUUUUUGUGUUUUGCUUGAACUUUGAAAUUGAACCAAAAUACAGAACUUGUAUUUGUGUGCAUGUAUAACUCUUGCCUCGUACACAUUUCACUUCACUUUUUUUAAAAAUAAAAUAAAAUGACUUGAUAAUAUACCCCUGUACGGCAACUAGUCUUUUAUUACUUUGUUUGUAAGGCUUUCACUCUUAUAGGCAAUUUUUCUGGAUGCGUUGGGAAGAAGUGGAGAAAGAUUGAUGCUUUGAGUAGCUUAAUACAGAUAAAACGAAGUAGGCAUCUGAGGUAAUAAUUUUGUAGUUUCUUAUACACUGAUAAUAUGAUUUGCUUGGUCUAGUCACUUUGUAGUUGUCUCACAUCUCUUUUUCAUGGUUGUUAUUAGUGUUUUCUUUUCGUUGCCACCAUCAUAAUACCUAGUGAAGCUAGUUUCUUUAUCACAUUUAGCUGCAUAGUUUCAUGUUGCUCUCCCUCCAUUUGUCUUAUUGUCUCUGCUUUGAGAGGGAAGAGUACGAGCAUGGAUUAUUGAGAGGGGUUAAUAUAGGAGGAAUGGUUUGCUGAAUUGAAGAAUCAAGUUUUUCUAUUGUUAUUGGAGAUUUUUAUUUACUGGUAUACAGCUCACUUAUAAAAUCCCUCUCUAAAUUUUUUAAUAAUCAUUAUUUUUUAGUUUCUUGAAUGAUAUUUAAUAACUAGGAGAGUAAAGUGCCCGUAAGAUUAGCCCCGGGGAUAAAUGAAGUCAUUGGCUUUUUUAAGUUUUUUGUGGCUUUGUAGAACCUGAAAAGUAAAUUUAUUAUAAUGUACUUGUAAGCAACCAUUGCCAAUAUGCGAGUAUGCUAAUCACAUUAUUCUUAAUUUAUGGUAGUUUUUUUUUUUUUUUGAUGAAUCAUGUUUAAUAUAGGAGCCAAAAGUGGAGGAAGAUCGAUGCUUUUAACAAAAUUUAAUGCAGAUGAACCAUUGUAAUAUGUAAAUUUAUUGCAAAUUUAAUGCAGAUGAAUCUUGUUUAAUAUUGUAAUGUACUUUGUUUCUUUCACAGCUAAAAAAUAACCAUUGUAAUUUUGAGAAAGUAGAAGGAUCUAUGGUUAAAAAAUUAAUAAUAAUAAUUCUCAAAAUU
Molecule: long non-coding RNA, 2574 nt
Filed under: Populus tremula
Lineage: Eukaryota; Viridiplantae; Streptophyta; Magnoliopsida; Malpighiales; Salicaceae
Description: long non-coding RNA (PTRE_LNC001044)
Source: RNAcentral